GAUAAACGCUGGCGGCGUGCCUAACACAUGCAAGUCGAACGAUCCCGCAAGGGAGAGUGGCGGAAGGGUGAGUAACACGUGGGAAUCUACCUCCUCGCAGGGAACAACCUCUCGAAAGAGAGGCUAAUACCCAAAAGGGUCAGAAAUGAUCAGAGUCGAAAGGCGUGAGGAGAGGAGCCCGCGGCCCAUCAGCUAGUUGGUGAGGUAAUGGCUUACCAAGGCUACGACGGGUAGGGAUCUGAGAGGAUGUCCCCCACACUGGAACUGAAACACGGUCCAGACGCCUACGGGUGGCAGCAGUGAGGAAUAUUGGACAAUGGGCGAAAAGCCCGAUCCAGCAACGCCGCGUGGAGGAUGAAGGCC
This 363-nucleotide ribosomal RNA is filed under the name uncultured bacterium. Its description in RNAcentral is "bacterial SSU rRNA". It matches the Rfam family "Bacterial small subunit ribosomal RNA", at positions 28 to 416 of the family's 1533-position model. The record is from RNAcentral.